AAAGGAAUUUAAAGACUUUGCAGUGAAGUAAAGAUGGUGUUUCAGAGUUCGUACAUUCUCUCAAUCAAACUCAUUUCUCUAACGCCGGUACUUUGAGUGUAUAUGAGAUUUUAUGAUGAAAACAAAUGAACCACCCCAAAUUCUAACACUAGAAACUCUAUUUAUACUAAUACGAAAUAAAUGUUUCCUAACGUUUCAUUCUUCAACUUUAGCCACGUAGACUUCUGCGUGCAUUUCGCCCUUGCAUUCCCUUCACGUGUCUUCAGGAUAAAACUAAGAAGUAGUUAUUGAUUUUUGAACAUAACACUUUUGCACGCUCAGAUAACUGUCACUUCGAUGCGCUUGUCGUUGUCGAAAUGUUGUUGUCGAACAAUCUUUCAAACACAUUCUAGAAAAUACUAAGUCUCAUUUUUCUCUAUUUGAGAUUUCUACAAUGUACACGUCAUCAAACGAUUCACUGCCCUUGACUUAUGUUCAUGUUGAGAUUUUUUCUUAUGUUGAAAAUCUUAGCUAAAGAGUGAUGACUAGAUUGCGUGUAAGAUUUUUUUUUGGAGAAAAAGUUAUUGUUUUUUGCUGUGAUUUUUGACAAAUCCUACCGAUAACUCUUAGAGGAACUAGAUUUGAUAUUGUGCAUGCAACAAUAAACGCUUCAUAUAUUUAGGAUAAUUGCAAUGUUCUUAUUCUAACAUAAAACAUGUGACUUUAAACUGGCUCAAGUUCUCCCAC
RNAcentral lists this long non-coding RNA (726 nucleotides) under Lathyrus oleraceus (garden pea). RNAcentral describes it as "Pisum sativum (pea) long non-coding RNA (PSAT_LNC003704)". Lineage: Eukaryota; Viridiplantae; Streptophyta; Magnoliopsida; Fabales; Fabaceae. The record is from RNAcentral.